Hibiscus syriacus is the source of this 69-nucleotide long non-coding RNA. RefSeq lists it as uncharacterized. The record is from RefSeq and is a predicted model, not a curated record. Lineage: Eukaryota; Viridiplantae; Streptophyta; Magnoliopsida; Malvales; Malvaceae. The transcript is spliced from 2 exons.
UUCGUUGAAAUCCAUUUGAGAGAAGAAAAACAAAGUACCAUUAGCAUUAAAACUGAGUGGGGGGAAGAA